RNAcentral lists this long non-coding RNA (2517 nucleotides) under Anolis carolinensis (green anole). RNAcentral describes it as "lncRNA (ENSACAG00000044339.1)". Lineage: Eukaryota; Metazoa; Chordata; Lepidosauria; Squamata; Anolidae. The record is from RNAcentral.
AUAUUCUGUAAGAAAUGUUUUGAUUCUGAAGUACUUCCAGACAUAUAAGAAAGAAGUUCAUCUGGUGGUUGUUGUAAAGGUGGCAGUGCAACUUUCCCACUCUUACAGCACAACCCAGGUGGUUCCAUUUUAAAUUUCUUGGCAUGACAGUAACUACAUAUUUGGUCCAUUUGUCCAAUAAUAACAUUGGAAUAUUGAUCAUAGUCCUUAUGAGGAUCAUAGUGAAAACCUUCAAGCAAGAAAUUUGAAUGCUUUUCUUUCCUUGUUGCAGUGACUUUUUCCCUGAUUGCUUGAAGUCGGGCAUUGUGCUGUUCUGGAGUGUCUGUUGCUCUUGAUGUCGAGGCUCUUUCUUGCAUUGCUCCAAGUCUAGCCUGACGGUAUUCUGGGGUCUCUGCUGUGGUGGAUGCCCUGGCCUUUUCUCUCUUCUGUUGAAGCCUGGCCUGACGGUGUUGUGGAGUCUCUGCUGUUGUGCAUGCCCUGGCCUUUUCUCUCUUCUGUUGAAGCCUGGCCUGGCGGUGUUGUGGAGUCUCUGUUGGUCUUGUAAUAGAGGCUCUUUCUUUCAUUGCUGCAAGUCUGGCCUGACGUUGUUCUGGAGUCUCAACUGCCCUGGAUGCCCUGGCCUUUUCUCUCUUUUGUUGAAGCCUGGCCUGUAGCUGUUCUGGAGUCUUUGUUGGUCUUGACUUAGUGGCUCUUUCUUGCAUUUCUCCAAGUCUGGUGUGAUGAUGUUGUGGAGUCUCUGCAAUCCUUGAUGCAUUAGCUGUUUCCUGGGUAUUUUCAAGUCGGCAAUCAGUGGACUCACUUGCUUGCUGGAAUUUUUCCUUUUUUGGUUUUGGAGGGAUUUUUCCUAUGGUAGAUUUUCUUUUUUGAGACAUUUUGAAGCUACCACACCUGAUUAAAAAAAAUAGAAACAAAGGGGAUUAAAUUUUUUUGGAUUUGAGGUUCAGAGAAUAACUUAUAACAAUGUACACUACUGAAAAUGUCCCCAAUAAUUAUUAUCUUUGUUGCCUUGAAGAAAGCAGUACCUUACCUUGGUGAGGGACACUGCUGUUCCAAAACGUUCCUUUUUGGAACUAUGUUGAAGGAGGAGGGUGAGGAGUUGUACCGUGUAACUGGUACAGCUCGUAAGUCCUGAAAGGUUUAAGCGAAAGGGUCAAUGGGGGCCAGGGGGGUAGGGGAGGUUGAACUUUUCAUAAAUACACACAGUAUGCCUGUAUACACACAGAGACAUUGAAAGGAAAUAUCUGACAUAUAGCCACCAUAUGUUGGAAAUUUCCAUAUAUGUGUGUAUAUUCAUUCAUAUUCUUUCCUUUUCUUUAUCUCUCACAGACAUACCAUCCGUUUGAUAUUUUUAAUGAGAAGAAAUGGAAAGGGUUCAAGGCAGGAAGAAUAGUCUGUCAAACCCCAUCUUAUUGUUUAAAAGAAAAAAGUUAAAAAGACACUAAUUAUUUUCUGUUUUAUCUUUUGAAUAAAGUAGGACCUUACCUUUUGUAGGGACAGUGGUGUUUCCUAAUGAUUCUAGAAGAAGCCCUCUUCUUUGGAGCAAUGUUGAACUGGGAAGACUGCAGGGUGUUGGGAUAGCUUGUAAGACCUGAAAGUGUUCAGCAGAAGAUCCAAAGGAGGUUGGUGGUAGUUAGAACUGUUCAUACACAUACACACACACACACACACACAGACUAAUAUGGAGGGGGGAUGAAAAGGAAUCAGACGGGAAGAAACAGUCUGUUAAACCCCAUCUUGUUGUUUAGAAGAAAACAUUAAAAACAUAAUAAUCAUUUUAGGCUUUUGUUUUUUGAAUAAAGUAGGACCUUACCUUGUGUAGGGACAGUACUGUGUCCAAAUUAUCCUGGAAGAAGCUGGCUGUUUUGUGGUCUAACAGGGUCAGGACAGCUUGUAAUAUCUGAAAGAGUUUAGCAGAAGGGCCAAAGGGGCCGGGUGGAAGUUAGAACUCUUCAUAAACACACACACACACACAUAUAGAGUGCCUAAUAUGGAGGAGGGGAAUGAGAAGUCAGACGGGGAGAAGUAGUCUGUCAAACCCCACCUUGUUAAGAAGGCAGCAUUAAAAAUAUAAUAAUUAUGUUAGCCUUUGUCAUAGAAUCAUAGAAUAGUAGAGUUGGAAGAGACCUCAUGGGCCAUCCAGUCCAACCCCCUGCCAAGAAGCAGGAAAUCGCAUUCAAAGCACCCCCAACAGAUGGCCAUCCAGCCUCUUUUUUUGAAUAAAGAAGGCGCUUACCUUGUGUAGGUACAGUGCUACGUCCAAAUUAUCCUGGAAGAGGUCAGCUCCUUUAGAACAACGUUGAACUGGGAAGAGGGCGGACUGGUGUGCGGCCUAACAGUCUCGGGAUAGCUUGCAAGACCUGAAGUGUUCAUAAGCAUGAAAAGGUAUAAUUAAAAAAUAUAAUAACAAUGUUCUCUUUGGUCUGUUGUGAAAAGUAGUGUCUUACCUUAUAGAAGGAGAGUGCAGUUUCCCAAUGACCCAGGCGAAAGCUACCUUCUUUGGAGCAAUGUUGAGGGAAG